Pieris napi is the source of this 247-nucleotide long non-coding RNA. RefSeq lists it as uncharacterized. The transcript has 2 exons. Lineage: Eukaryota; Metazoa; Arthropoda; Insecta; Lepidoptera; Pieridae. The record is from RefSeq and is a predicted model, not a curated record.
AGAACAGUUUGGUUAACAUUAGUUCGAUAUGUUGAAAUUUGUGAUUUUCUUCGCCACCUUGCUGGCUUUGACAGCCGCAAAGCCUUUGAUCGUGGAGUAUGAAUAUUCAGAUCCUCUCGUGUACAGUUCCCCUGUUGCGGUAGACUACUCCUCAUCAUACUAUUCAUAUCCAAGCUACGCAACCACCUAUGAUUACAACUACUACCCUUACAGUUACUAUGUCCGCUAAUAAAUUGGUUCUUACGUU